UAGCUCAGUUGGUAGAGCAUGGUGCUUGCAACUCCAGGGUUGUGGAUUUGAUUCCCAC
This is a non-coding RNA of Salmo salar (Atlantic salmon), 58 nucleotides long. NCBI's taxonomy places the organism in Eukaryota, Metazoa, Chordata, Actinopteri, Salmoniformes, Salmonidae. The record is from Rfam.